RNAcentral lists this ribosomal RNA (196 nucleotides) under uncultured bacterium. RNAcentral's name for it is "partial 16S ribosomal RNA". It matches the Rfam family "Bacterial small subunit ribosomal RNA", at positions 326 to 539 of the family's 1533-position model. The record is from RNAcentral.
ACGCUCGACACCUACGAGGCAGCAGUGGGGAAUAUUGCACAAUGGGGGAAACCCUGAUGCAGCGACGCCGCGUGAGCGAAGAAGUAUUUCGGUAUGUAAAGCUCUAUCAGCAGGGAAGAAACUGACGGUACCUGACUAAGAAGCACCGGCUAAAUACGUGCCCGCAGCCGCGGUAAUCUGAGCGGGCUGGCAAGGC